RNAcentral lists this small RNA (1020 nucleotides) under Pongo abelii (Sumatran orangutan). RNAcentral describes it as "processed transcript". The record is from RNAcentral. Lineage: Eukaryota; Metazoa; Chordata; Mammalia; Primates; Hominidae.
AUCGCGGGCGUGCGCCUGGAGGACGAGGGCCGGUACCGCUGCGAGCUCAUCAACGGCAUCGAGGACGAGAGCGUGGCGCUGACCUUGAGCUUGGAGGGUGAGGCCCUUCCGCUCCCGCCCCAUUCCUCUGUAGCAGGCGGGGCCGCCUCGCCUGGGUCUCCCAGGGCUCCUUCCCAGUAUCUCCUCCGCACCCCUGGGGACCCCAGCUCCCUCUCCCAGGCCUCGCCUCCCUUCCUCCCCCUCCGCUCCCAUCCGCUGGCCCUCCCCAGGAUCCCCGCCACCCCCUAGGUGUGGUGUUUCCGUACCAACCCAGCCGGGGCCGGUACCAGUUCAAUUACUACGAGGCAAAGCAGGCGUGCGAGGAGCAGGACGGACGCCUGGCCACCUACUCCCAGCUCUACCAGGCUUGGACCGAGGGUCUGGACUGGUGUAACGCGGGCUGGCUGCUCGAGGGCUCCGUGCGCUACCCUGUGCUCACCGCGCGCGCCCCGUGCGGCGGCCGAGGCCGGCCCGGGAUCCGCAGCUACGGGCCCCGCGACCGGAUGCGUGACCGCUACGACGCCUUCUGCUUCACCUCCGCGCUGGCGGGCCAAGUGUUCUUCGUGCCCGGGCGGCUGACGCUAUCUGAAGCCCAUGCGGCGUGCCGGCGACGCGGCGCGGUGGUGGCCAAGGUUGGGCACCUCUACGCCGCCUGGAAGUUCUCGGGGCUAGACCAGUGCGACGGCGGCUGGCUGGCUGACGGCAGUGUGCGCUUCCCAAUCACCACGCCGCGGCCGCGCUGCGGGGGGCUCCCGGAUCCCGGAGUGCGCAGUUUCGGCUUCCCCAGGCCCCAGCAGGCAGCCUAUGGGACCUACUGCUACGCCGAGAAUUAGGCGCCCACUGUGUCCCCUCCAGCGCGCGCGAAGCUUGGGAGUCGUGGCGGGGUUCUGUCGCCACCCCUUUCCGGAGAGCCUCCCCUCCCUCCAGACCCGGAGCGGCCUCUCCAGACCUGCCUUCCCAGCCGGGGGCUGCGGGCCUCGG